RNAcentral lists this ribosomal RNA (451 nucleotides) under uncultured bacterium. Its description in RNAcentral is "partial 16S ribosomal RNA". It matches the Rfam family "Bacterial small subunit ribosomal RNA", at positions 354 to 796 of the family's 1533-position model. The record is from RNAcentral.
GUGGGGAAUAUUGGACAAUGGGGGGAACCCUGAUCCAGCCAUGCCGCGUGUGUGAAGAAGGCCUUUUGGUUGUAAAGCACUUUAAGCGGGGAGGAGGCUCUUGAGGAUAAUACCCUUGAUGAGUGGACGUUACCCGCAGAAUAAGCACCGGCUAACUCUGUGCCAGCAGCCGCGGUAAUACAGAGGGUGCGAGCGUUAAUCGAAUUUACUGGGCGUAAAGCGUGCGUAGGCGGCUGAAUAAGUCGGAUGUGAAAUCCCCGAGCUUAACUUGGGAAUUGCAUACGAUACUGUUUGGCUAGAGUAUGGGAGAGGAUGGUAGAAUUCCAGGUGUAGCGGUGAAAUGCGUAGAGAUCUGGAGGAAUACCGAUGGCGAAGGCAGCCAUCUGGCCUAAUACUGACGCUGAGGUACGAAAGCAUGGGGAGCAAACAGGAUUAGAAACCCGUGUAGUCC